AAGAUGGCGACCGGCGCACGGGUGAGUAACACGUAUCCAACCUACCGAUAACUCCGGAAUAGCCUUUCGAAAGAAAGAUUAAUACCGGAUAGUAUACGAAUAUCGCAUGAUAUUUUUUAUUUAAAGAAUUUUCGGGUUAUCGAUGGGGAUGCGUUCCAUUAGUUUGUUGGCGGGGUAACGGCCCACCAAGACUACGAUGGAUAGGGGUUCUGAGAGGAAGGUCCCCCACAUUGGAACUGAGACACGGUCCAAACUCCUACGGGAGGGCAGCAUG
RNAcentral lists this ribosomal RNA (274 nucleotides) under uncultured bacterium. RNAcentral describes it as "partial 16S ribosomal RNA". It matches the Rfam family "Bacterial small subunit ribosomal RNA", at positions 85 to 348 of the family's 1533-position model. The record is from RNAcentral.